This 447-nucleotide ribosomal RNA is filed under the name uncultured bacterium. RNAcentral's name for it is "bacterial SSU rRNA". It matches the Rfam family "Bacterial small subunit ribosomal RNA", at positions 355 to 825 of the family's 1533-position model. The record is from RNAcentral.
UCAGGAAUUUUGGGCAAUGGGCGAAAGCCUGACCCAGCAACGCCGCGUGAAGGAUGAAGUAUUUCGGUAUGUAAACUUCGAAAGAAUAGGAAGAAUAAAUGACGGUACUAUUUAUAAGGUCCGGCUAACUACGUGCCAGCAGCCGCGGUAAUACGUAGGGACCAAGCGUUGUUCGGAUUUACUGGGCGUAAAGGGCGCGUAGGCGGCAAUUCAAGUCAUCUGUGAAAUCUCCGGGCUUAACUCGGAACGGUCAGAUGAUACUGCUUUGCUAGAGUGCAGAAGGGGCAAUCGGAAUUCUUGGUGUAGCGGUGAAAUGCGUAGAUAUCAAGAGGAACACCUGAGGUGAAGACGGGUUGCUGGGCUGACACUGACGCUGAGGCGCGAAAGCCAGGGUAGCGAAGAGGAUUAGAUACCCCGGUAGUCCCUGAGCGGGCUGGCAAGGCGCAU